GUUGUCAGAUUCACUUCAAUCCAUGUGUGUUGGUGUGGAUUGGGGUGAAAUUUAGUUCAAUUUCCACACCAAUCCACCUUAACACAUGUGAAUUGAUGUGAAUCCAACU
This is a microRNA precursor of Sorghum bicolor (sorghum), 109 nucleotides long. It matches the Rfam family "MIR5565 microRNA precursor family". The record is from Rfam. NCBI's taxonomy places the organism in Eukaryota, Viridiplantae, Streptophyta, Magnoliopsida, Poales, Poaceae.